Cydia pomonella (codling moth) is the source of this 1411-nucleotide long non-coding RNA. RefSeq lists it as uncharacterized. The transcript is spliced from 2 exons. The record is from RefSeq and is a predicted model, not a curated record. Lineage: Eukaryota; Metazoa; Arthropoda; Insecta; Lepidoptera; Tortricidae.
UAAAGUUAUUUUAUUUAAAAAAUAUAUAUAUUACCCACUACUGCUUGGUAGGCAACAAUGAAUCUGACUGAAUUACGUAUACGUGGUUUUUGGUAUGUUUUCAGGAAUUAUAAAAAGAUUUUUUUAUUUCGUCGCAUUGCGUAUGUUCUGCAAAAUGUUCUGUCCCUCACUUCGCACGCCUGUGGCAACUCCAUAGUAUAUUUGUUUUGAGUUUACGCUUGAUAAUCAAUGUCAAGUAAGUGACAAUUCAAAGUUUGACAGUGCAUUUCAAUAACAAAUAUACUCAGGCAUUUCAUUUGAAAUUGAUACAGUAUUUAGGUAAUGCAGGCGUUAUAUCUGACCGCCUGACAAAAACAGAGACCACAUGAAACAUGAUGAAAUAAAUAAAUAAUAUCAAAUAAAGAAAGCAGUAGAACUUGUACAUGCAAUGUUAUCCUAACACUUACUUAGUUCUACUGUGUUAUGUCUUUCUAGAAUGGAUUGUUGUUCAGUACAUCUAUGCGAAAAAGUUGAGCUACAAUAUGUAAACCAAAUUAGAAAAGAUAUAAAACAACAAGAAAAACGUCGUAAUAAGGAAGAACAGCAGUUCCAAAAAGAAUUGAAAAAACUAAAAAACAAACGAAAGAGGCAACUAUCUGCUAUUAAGAAAGCCGUUAAUAAAUUGGAGCCUAAAGACAGGAGGAAAUUUCGUGUUUUUCGUACUCCAUCGAAAGUUAUAAUUGCGAGAAAAUGCGUCUGCAAAAAACGAAUGUUAAAAAAACUCCGCCCAUGUUGCUGUCUUGUUGUCAUUGCACUCGCCGCCUUUUUGGCUAUAGCGCUCCCAUUUGGCCCUUGAGUACAAUUAAUAGAAUCGUGAUGGACUCAACUUAUACAACAACCGUCAUUGUCGCGAUUCGUUCUUCUCCCUCAAAUCUAAAUUGAAUUUCAAGAAGCAUAAAACUAUUAUAAUGAGAUAAAUGUGUAUUUGUGUAAUAAUGUCCUAUAAUAUGUAUUUAUUAUUUUAAUUUUUUUAUAAAUGUAAAAUGUAAAAUUCAUUUUUUAUAAAUGCCAUCUGAUUCAUUCAGUAAGAAUGCGAUCAAAGACGGAUUCCCUCUUUGAUCGCAUUCUACUGAAUGCGCCAGUAUGGUACGCCCCAGUAGCAGAUAUAUCGUGGAGGCCAGGUAUUCCCAAAUGUCUUAACAAAGCGACUAUUAUAAAGUUUAAAAUGCAUUUACAGUGACGGCACCUCAACCGCUCCGAUACUUUAAUGGUCAUUUUUUAAUUAUAUUUUAUCUGUGACACUUAGAGACCUUUACAUCUCUAAGGAAAUUUACUAUUUGUUGUUUGUAUUUUUUAUCAAUUUUUUUUAUGUAAUUCGAUAAUUAGAGACUGUAUACAUCUCGAAUAAAGUAUCUAAUAUUUAAUUAUACCA